RNAcentral lists this unclassified non-coding RNA (219 nucleotides) under uncultured fungus. RNAcentral's name for it is "sequence contains ITS1, 5.8S rRNA gene". The stretch from base 171 to 219 matches the Rfam family "5.8S ribosomal RNA", at positions 1 to 49 of the family's 154-position model. Lineage: Eukaryota; Fungi. The record is from RNAcentral.
UUUCCGUAGGUGAACCUGCGGAAGGAUCAUUAGAGAUGGCCGUGGUGGCCUAAAGACCCGCGCCGCGAGAGCGUGCGUGACACAACCAAACCAAACCUGUGCACCCGUCGGCCUCGGCCGUCAUAACAUAACUUAUUAGUAGACCUGAACGUGAGAAACAAAACCUAUAUAACUGUCAACAACGGAUCUCUUGGCUCUCGCAUCGAUGAAGAACGCAGC